RNAcentral lists this non-coding RNA (205 nucleotides) under Pseudomonas fluorescens. The record is from RNAcentral. Lineage: Bacteria; Pseudomonadati; Pseudomonadota; Gammaproteobacteria; Pseudomonadales; Pseudomonadaceae.
CCUACAUACCUUGUUUCGGGUGCCCUUCACAGGGUGAAACGGGAAACCGGUAAAUCAUGCCUGCAUGACCAGUCCGGUGCUGCCCCCGCAACGGUAAGCGAGAGAAGCGUCAUAUCCACUGUGCCUGCAAGGCAUGGGAAGGCGAUGCUUUACAGACCCAGCGUCCCUCGCAAGCCCGGAGACCGGCCCGAAAAAACUCACACAA